Molecule: long non-coding RNA, 936 nt
Organism: Chelonus insularis
Lineage: Eukaryota; Metazoa; Arthropoda; Insecta; Hymenoptera; Braconidae
Exons: 3
Source: RefSeq, a predicted model, not a curated record
GUUUCGUCAGAUGUGAAUAAAGAUGAGCAACAGAGCUUGCUAAUUCUGAUAAAUCAUCCGUCAGUCUUUGUUCUGCUCCUCCUAACCGAUUGUCUAAAGCUGAUACUCUAUAUACUUCAUGCUGUAAAAGUCAGACGCGUGAUUAUUUCACGUCCGGUGUAUGAACGACACGCACGAAUUGACGACCAGCUGGCAACUGUACUGGUAUCGCUUCUCUGCUUCCCUCUUCUCUCUUUCUACAAAAGUUAUUUACAAGAAACACGACUGAAUAACAAUUAGAAGAUGGCCAUUAGCACUUUUUAUGUUAAUUAUUCUACAACAGACGAUAGUAAAUUUGAUAGUUUUUUACGUAAAAAAAGUGAAGAGCAUAAAGGUUUUGCACUUGGUGGCCUUUUGCUUACAUCAACAGAGUUGUUAACUGUUAAUUAAUAAGUAUUAAAUAAUCAUAAAUUCUUUUAUGCGUAUAAUAAUAACAAUUGACUCUGCAAUACACUCUCUGUUUUAUUAUCAAAUUGUUAUGCCAAAUCAAUAUUGCAAAGAUCAUUAAGAGAGAGAAGAAUUAAGAUCCAAUAAAUUUUUCUCCUUGUCAAGAAGGCGUACGAGAUUCAGGAGAACCAAGUGGAUAUGAGGGCAAUGCUUCUAAAAUUCGUGGAGGAGGGAUUUUUUUAACAGAACUCAGAGAAGUAGAAUUAAGAGGAGAAUGAAGUGGUUUUGUGGCGUCCGGCGUCGUCCAAGCAUUGAAAGCUCCAACUGGUCUGCCAGAAUUUAACGAUUUUAGAGGUAUUUUUGUUGAGAGCUCACUAAUUGUUGGAGCACUUCCUUGCAAAUUAAGUGAGUUUAAUUGCUGAUAUCCACUUGAAGAGUCAUCAGAGCCUCCAGAUUUACUCAAUCGGCCAUUUGUUUCUAAAUCAAAAAAAUAUAUUUUUAUUAAUAUAA